GAUAAACGCUGGCGGCGUGCCUAACACAUGCAAGUCGAACGAUCCCGCAAGGGAGAGUGGCGGAAGGGUGAGUAACACGUGGGAAUCUACCUCCUCGCAGGGAACAACCUCUCGAAAGAGAGGCUAAUACCCAAAAGGGUCAGAAAUGAUCAGAGUCGAAAGGCGUGAGGAGAGGAGCCCGCGGCCCAUCAGCUAGUUGGUGAGGUAAUGGCUUACAAGGCUACGACGGGUAGGGGAUCUGAGAGGAUGUCCCCCACACUGGAACUGAAACACGGUCCAGACGCCUACGGGUGGCAGCAGUGAGGAAUAUUGGACAAUGGGCGAAAGCCCGAUCCAGCAACGCCGCGUGGAGGAUGAAGGCCUUCGGGUCGUAAACUUC
RNAcentral lists this ribosomal RNA (379 nucleotides) under uncultured bacterium. RNAcentral describes it as "bacterial SSU rRNA". It matches the Rfam family "Bacterial small subunit ribosomal RNA", at positions 28 to 433 of the family's 1533-position model. The record is from RNAcentral.